GGAUGUGAAGGUGAUCUGGUUGCAACAUCUGUCACCCCAUUGAUCACCAGGGUUGAUUCGGCUGAUCUGGCUGGCUAGGCGGGUGUCCUCUUCCUCCCUCACCGCUCCAUGUGCGUCCCUCCCGAAGCUGCACGCUCAGUCAAAGAGGACGACCAUCCCCGAUAGAGGAGGACCAGUCUUCGGUCAAGGGUAUACGAGUAGCUGCACUCCCCUGCUAGAACCUCCAAACAAGCUCUCAAAAUC
RNAcentral lists this long non-coding RNA (243 nucleotides) under Cervus elaphus hippelaphus. It matches the Rfam family "7SK RNA", at positions 1 to 243 of the family's 331-position model. From Rfam's summary of the family: 7SK was discovered as an abundant small nuclear RNA in the mid-70s but a possible function has only recently been suggested. Two independent studies have found that 7SK RNA binds the CDK9/cyclin T complex (known as elongation factor P-TEFb). P-TEFb activates transcription by phosphorylating the C-terminal domain of RNA polymerase II. The record is from RNAcentral. Lineage: Eukaryota; Metazoa; Chordata; Mammalia; Artiodactyla; Cervidae.